Molecule: ribosomal RNA, 254 nt
Filed under: uncultured prokaryote
Description: partial 16S ribosomal RNA
Rfam family: Bacterial small subunit ribosomal RNA
Source: RNAcentral
UACGGAGGAUCCAAGCGUUAUCCGGAAUUACUGGGCGUAAAGAGUUGCGUAGGUGGCAUGGUAAGUUGGUAGUGAAAGCCUGGGGCUCAACCCCUUACACAUUAUCAAAACUGCCAAGCUAGAGGAUGAGAGAGGUUAUUGGAAUUCCUAAUGUAGGGGUAAAAUCCGUUGAUAUUAGGAGGAACACCGAUGGCGUAGGCAGAUAACUGGCUCAUUCCUGACACUAAGGCACGAAAGCGUGGGUAGCAAACAGG